GGAGAGAUGCGAGAGCGGCUUAAUCGGAUGGUCUUGAAAACCAUUGUGGCAGCGAUGUCACCGUGGGUUCGAAUCCCACUCUCUCCGCCA
RNAcentral lists this transfer RNA (90 nucleotides) under Dehalococcoidales bacterium. Its description in RNAcentral is "tRNA-Ser". It matches the Rfam family "tRNA". Rfam says of the family: Transfer RNA (tRNA) molecules are approximately 80 nucleotides in length. Their secondary structure includes four short double-helical elements and three loops (D, anti-codon, and T loops). The record is from RNAcentral. Lineage: Bacteria; Bacillati; Chloroflexota; Dehalococcoidia; Dehalococcoidales. RNAcentral also lists the same sequence under 1 other name.